GGAAUGAGUAAUGUAGCGGUGAAAUGCAUAGAUAUUACUCAGAACUCCGAUUGCGUAGGCAGCUUGCUAAACUGUAACUGACGCUGAUGCACGAAAGCGUGGGGAGCGAACAGGAUUAGAUACCCUGGUAGUCCACGCUGUAAACGAUGAGCACUGGUUGUUGGCAAUACACCGUCAGCGACUGAGCGAAAGUAUUAAGUGCUCCACCUGGGGAGUACGUCGGCAACGAUGAAACUCAAAGGAAUUGACGGGGGCCCGCACAAGCGGAGGAACAUGUGGUUUAAUUCGAUGAUACGCGAGGAACCUUACCUGGGCUUAAAUGUAGAGUGCAUUGCUUGGAAACAGGCAUUUUCUUCGGAACUCCUUACAAGGUGCUGCAUGGUUGUCGUCAGCUCGUGCCGUGAGGUGUCGGGUUAAGUCCCAUAACGAGCGCAACCCCUAUUGUUAGUUACCAGCACGUAAUGGUGGGGACUCUAGCAAGACUGCCGGUGUAAACCGUGAGGAAGGUGGGGAUGACGUCAAAUCAGCACGGCCCUUAUGUCCAGGGCUACACACGUGUUACAAUGGCAAGUACAAAGAGCAGCCACCUGGCGACAGGGCGCUAAUCUCAAAAGCUUGCCUCAGUUCGGAUCGAAGUCUGCAACUCGACUUCGUGAAGGUGGAUUCGCUAGUAAUCGCGCAUCAGCCAUGGCGCGGUGAAUACGUUCCCGGGCCUUGUACACACCGCCCGUCAAGCCAUGGAAGCCGGGGGUACCUGAAGUCCGU
This 765-nucleotide ribosomal RNA is filed under the name uncultured organism. RNAcentral describes it as "bacterial SSU rRNA". It matches the Rfam family "Bacterial small subunit ribosomal RNA", at positions 663 to 1431 of the family's 1533-position model. The record is from RNAcentral.